RNAcentral lists this unclassified non-coding RNA (343 nucleotides) under soil metagenome. RNAcentral describes it as "partial contains 5.8S ribosomal RNA, internal transcribed spacer 2, and large subunit ribosomal RNA". The stretch from base 1 to 120 matches the Rfam family "5.8S ribosomal RNA", at positions 35 to 154 of the family's 154-position model. The record is from RNAcentral.
GAUGAAGAACGCAGCGAAAUGCGAUAAGUAAUGUGAAUUGCAGAAUUCAGUGAAUCAUCGAAUCUUUGAACGCACAUUGCGCCCGCUAGUAUUCUGGCGGGCAUGCCUGUCCGAGCGUCAUUUCAACCCUCAAGCCCCCGGGCUUGGUGUUGGGGAUCGGCGAGCCUCCGCGCCCGCCGUCCCCUAAAUCUAGUGGCGGUCUCGCUGUAGCUUCCUCUGCGUAGUAGCACACCUCGCACUGGGAAACAGCGCGGCCACGCCGUUAAACCCCCAACUUCUGAACGUUUGACCUCGGAUCAGGUAGGAAUACCCGCUGAAAUUAAGCAUAUCAAUAAGCGGAGGA